RNAcentral lists this long non-coding RNA (4359 nucleotides) under Homo sapiens (human). RNAcentral describes it as "non-protein coding ZKSCAN2-DT:10". The record is from RNAcentral. Lineage: Eukaryota; Metazoa; Chordata; Mammalia; Primates; Hominidae.
CCGAGUGGGUGGGGCCGGAUGUGCAGGCCCCGCCCGGCGCCAGGUUCCGGGCUCGGGUCACCGCAGCACGUCCAGGCCGCCGCGGGUGCCGCUGGGGCCGCCGGAUUCCGAGAGCGGCGCCGGGCUCUUUCGGGCCCACGACGGCCCCGACCGUCCUGAGGAAACCGCUGCCGCCGAGGAAAGGCCGCAAAAACUGUUCCGCCCGGAAGGGAGAAGAGCUGCGGGGCGAAGCCAGGGCUCGCAGGGGGCAGCGGCAGGCUGCUCGCGUUCGGCCUCGUCCACUCGGCCCGCGGAGAGCGCGGGGGGCGCUGGGAACCGCAGUCACGCAUGCGCCGCCUGCCACCGAGCGCCGCGGGGCCCGCGCGAGGCGUCCUGGCGGGCGAGGGGCUGGGGGAGGGGGGGGGGGCCGUGCGGUGGACUCUCGCGAGAGCGCGCGGCGCGGUGACUCGUCGCUGAGGGACUUUAAGAUUGUAGAGGGGCGCGGAGGGUCCUCCCCGGGGCGGAGGGACACAGAGGGAUUCUAGGGAACCUGCCGUCGCGAGUCCCGCUUCAGGCGGAGAAUCUAGGCGGCGGCGGGGCCUCCCUGAGGCGGAGGAGUCGGCACCGGGGCCUGGCUGCCGGGGAAGGAGAGCACGGGAGCGGGGACUCCUGUGUCUGGCGGAGGGACACGGCGUUCCGGUGGAGGGAUCUGUUCCUUGUACCUGGUCCAGGGUUGCGGUCGGGGAUGGAGCGGUUACCCCGACCCUGCGGGACCUUCUUCCUCUGGCGGAGGUGCACGGCGCGGCGUGGUGUUUUUCUGGCGGAAGUAUCUGUGCGUGGCCCCAGGCCCUUCCCGGCGCGGUCUCAUCUGGGGCCACUUGUUGGCCCUCGCGUUGGGGAGGUUCAUGUGGUGCAUCCUGAUGAGAAGGGGGGUCACAGGGGUCUCGGGGCCAGGGUUCAGCCAGCCAGGCCCCAGCUUGCUCUCUUCUGGUGCUGCCCCUGUCCCUGAAUUCAUAGACCCGGCUUUCCCUCUCUUGAGCACCUACUAUGUGCCAGGCUGCGCUUUGCGCAUGUAGCAGAGGCAACAGUGUCACCUGGGAAGCUGGUUUCCCCCAAAGGAACUCUUGUCUGUCCGUUGUUGCAGAGCCAGCGCAUGAGACCAAGUGUGAGUAUCAGGCAGUGCAGCCUUCAUUCAGUGGCCAUGGAAUUGGAGAAGUGGGAGGGUAGCUCGCAAAUCAAGCUCUCAGCUCUUGGAAACUGAGAAGUUACAGGUAAUAGGGAGUGUUGACGAAAAGUAAAACCGUGCAAAAUAUUUGAAGAGAUUUAUUGUGAGCCAAAUACGAGUAACCACAGCCUGUGAUACAGCCCUCUCGAGGCCCUGAGAACAUGUGCCCAAGGUGGUCGGGGUGCAGCUUGGUUUUAUGUUUUAGGUUGGCAUGAGACAUCAGUCAAAUACAUUAAAUACAUUGGUUUGGUCCAGGAAGGCGGGACAACGCAAAGGGGUGGGGGUGGGGGCUUCCAGGCUAUAGGUAAAUUUAAAUAUUUUCUAGUUGACAAUUGGUUGAGUUUGUCUGAAGACCUGGGAUUGAUAGAAAGGAAGUGUUCAGGUUAAGAUAAAAGAUAGUGGAGACUAAGGUUCUUUUGAAGUCUUAUGGUGGCUGCUCUUAGAGAUAAUAGAUGACAAAUGUUUCCUAUUCAGAUCUUCAAAAGGUGUUAGACUUUUAGUUAAUCCGUUUAGGAUUGGGAGGGCCUGGAAGAAAAACAUCUAGCUAUGUUAAUAGAUGUUCUUUACAGAUGCACAUUUUACCCCACAAAGGAUAGCUUUUGGGGGAAAAUGCUGUCCUUUAUGGAAGAAAUUGCAAAAUAGGGCAAGGAAACAUGUUUUGGGGUAAAAUAUUUUGACUUUCUUUUUGUCACGUAAUGUUAUGCCAGAGUCAGAAUGGAAAGUAAGUCAUCAUAUAUAGGAUUAAAUAAAACCCAUCUGAUGAGAAUUUAUGGUUUGUAGGUCAUGACUCCCCAGAUCCCUUAGAUAGGAAUUUGGGCAGGAUUAAAAAAAUCAAGAGUUUAGGCUGGUCGUGGUGGCUCACGCCUAUAAUCCCAGCAUUUUGGGAGGCCAAGGCAGGUGGAUCGCUUGAGGUCAGAAGUUUAAGACCAGCCUGGCCAACAUGGCGAAACCCCGUCUCUACUAAAAAUACAAAAAUUAGCUGGGCAUGGUGGCACACGCCUGUGAUUCUAGCUGAUUGGGAGGCUGAGGCAUGAGACUCAACUUGAACCCGGGAGGCGGAGGUUGCAAUGAGCUGAGAUUGUGCCACUGCACUCCAGCUUGGUUGACAAAGUGAGACUCUGUGUCAAAAACAAAACAAAACAGAAAAAAAAAACAAAAGAAUCAGAGCUUAGUCGUCAGGUGUCCUUAAUGAAGGGGCUGGGCAUUAAGAGCAAGGCGAGGAGGCAGAAGGAAAGCUUGAGCCCAGGAAUUGGAGACCAGCUUGGGCAACAUGGUAAGACCCUGUCUCUAAAAAAAAUAAAAAUUAAGAACAAGAGGAGGAAUAUUCAUGUUUUUUCUUGGGAAGGGAGGUAGAUUUUCCUGGAAUCAAGGAGCUGCCCCUUUUUUUGUCCUUUUUUUGGUCUCUUCGGGUCAUCACGGUGAUUGUCAACUGUCAUGGCAACCAGUGGGAAUGUCAUUUAGUACUGAAGUUGGAUUAGAAUGAAGCUAGAGGUUCUUCAGAGGUCGAGUAAGCUAAGAAGGAACCUAUGACCACAGACAACCUGUUUUCUAAAAAUAAGCAGAGUUAAAUCUGAGUAGGAAUUUAGCUAUGUCAUGGAGGCAUUGCAUUGGGUAACAAAAGCCAGGUAGGCGUCCAGCUAAGUCCCCUAGGCCCUGCAACGGGUAACAGCAGUACUGACUCUAUGUUAGAGAAAAGCUUGCUUGCUUGAGUAUAAUUAUUGUUUUGCCUGAGUUUGUAAACUAUUCACUAAAAACAGCCACAGAAAAAAACAGGACCUUCUUCAACAGAUAAAACACACAGACCCGCAGCUUUGGGAACAGGCUGAUGGCCCCUGCACAGUCUAGUCACAAGGCAUUGACCAAGAAAGUAAUGACUAACUGCCCAUCUGAGACUGCGCAUGAUUCACAAGAAUGUUUCUUUGUUUUGUUUUUUGAGACAGUCUUGGUCUGUCUCCCAGGCUGGAGUGCAGUGAUGUUGGUUCGCUGUAGCCUCUGCCUCCUGAGUAGCUGGGACUACAGGCGUGUGCCACCGCACCUGGCUAAUUUUUGUAUUUUUAGUAGAGAUGAUGUUUGACUAUGUUGGCCAGGAUGGUCUCGAACUCCUGACCUCAAGUGAUCCACCUGCCUCGGCCUCCCAAAUUGCUGGGGUUACAAGUAUGAGCCACCGCUCCUGGCCCACAAGAAUGUUUUGAUCAUUAUUUCUCCUAAUUUUCCUUAAAAUCCCUGGAUCUAGAGGCACAACUGAGAAAGGUGGUCUUUGAAUGCUAGUGCACUGCCUUUUGCAGGUUGCUGGUUUCUCGAAUAAAGCUAACUUUGCUUUCACCAAAGCUUGUCUUUUGAGUUUUUGGCUUUCAGGCGACGAGUGGCCUGGACACCAGUUCGGCUACAUGUAUGUCAGUGGGCAAAACAAAAAUCCUUAUUCUGGGAGGUAGAUAGCUUAUUAGAAAACACAACCUAAUCACUUGUUUCCCAAAUGUUAAAAAUUGAGCCAAUUUUAGCCCCAGAAGCUUAGGGUACCAUGUACAUAACAGGCAUUACCUGAGGGUGGGGCAGAGAGAAUCAGUGGGGUACCUCGUAUAUGCCAGGGGUUGUAUCAGCAUCCUUACACAGCUCAUUUUUCUUUUUAAAUAAUACUUAUUGAGGACCUAUUUAAUGCCAGAUAUGGUGGUAGGUAGGGAGCAAAAGCAGGAUUCCCCUCCCAUUAUUGAGUUUUCAGUCUGGUGGGAGAGGCAGGAAUUAAAUAAGUAAUCCACAAACUCAAGUACAAUUCUAAGGGAGAUGGGUGCCACCAAGAAGAGACAUGGUGCUGAGAACCUAUGUCUGUCAGAGGGAUUUGAUCUAUUUGGGAGGUCUGGAAAGGUUUUUUUGAAGAAGCAGUGCUAGGGGUGAGAUCCAAAGGAGAAGAGCUAAUUAGGCAAAGCCUAGUCCUCACAAAAAUCCUAUAAACCAGAUAUGAUUACCUUCAUUUUAGAGUUUAGGGCAUUGAGACUUGAGCAAGGUGAUGUCACUGCCCAAGGUUACAUCAGAUUAAAUGGCAACCCAGGAUUCAGAUUCAAAUAAGAGUAGGGUUCUUUAUAUUCUCCUUGGGCUAUUUGGUGGUUUUAGGAGAGGCAAGUAUCACAAACAGCUUGGGGACAUGAGGGAGCAGGAAUCAC